This 920-nucleotide ribosomal RNA is filed under the name Weissella confusa. Its description in RNAcentral is "bacterial SSU rRNA". It matches the Rfam family "Bacterial small subunit ribosomal RNA", at positions 58 to 933 of the family's 1533-position model. The record is from RNAcentral. Lineage: Bacteria; Bacillati; Bacillota; Bacilli; Lactobacillales; Lactobacillaceae.
CGGGUUCUACUGAUUUGAGAGCUUGCUCAGAUCUGACGAUGGACAUUGCAAAGAGUGGCGAACGGGUGAGUAACACGUGGGAAACCUACCUCUUAGCAGGGGAUAACAUUUGGAAACAGAUGCUAAUACCGUAUAACAAUGACAACCGCAUGGUUGUUAUUUAAAAGAUGGUUCUGCUAUCACUAAGAGAUGGUCCCGCGGUGCAUUAGCUAGUUGGUAAGGUAAUGGCUUACCAAGGCGAUGAUGCAUAGCCGAGUUGAGAGACUGAUCGGCCACAAUGGGACUGAGACACGGCCCAUACUCCUACGGGAGGCAGCAGUAGGGAAUCUUCCACAAUGGGCGAAAGCCUGAUGGAGCAACGCCGCGUGUGUGAUGAAGGGUUUCGGCUCGUAAAACACUGUUGUAAGAGAAGAAUGACAUUGAGAGUAACUGUUCAAUGUGUGACGGUAUCUUACCAGAAAGGAACGGCUAAAUACGUGCCAGCAGCCGCGGUAAUACGUAUGUUCCAAGCGUUAUCCGGAUUUAUUGGGCGUAAAGCGAGCGCAGACGGUUAUUUAAGUCUGAAGUGAAAGCCCUCAGCUCAACUGAGGAAUUGCUUUGGAAACUGGAUGACUUGAGUGCAGUAGAGGAAAGUGGAACUCCAUGUGUAGCGGUGAAAUGCGUAGAUAUAUGGAAGAACACCAGUGGCGAAGGCGGCUUUCUGGACUGUAACUGACGUUGAGGCUCGAAAGUGUGGGUAGCAAACAGGAUUAGAUACCCUGGUAGUCCACACCGUAAACGAUGAGUGCUAGGUGUUUGAGGGUUUCCCGCCCUUUAAGUGCCCGCAGCUAACGCAUUUAAGCACCUCCCGCCUGGGGAGUACGGACCCGCCACGGAUUGGAAUCUUCAAAGGGAAAUUGACGGGGGGAAUCCCCCGCUAC